This 253-nucleotide ribosomal RNA is filed under the name uncultured bacterium. RNAcentral describes it as "partial 16S ribosomal RNA". It matches the Rfam family "Bacterial small subunit ribosomal RNA", at positions 524 to 776 of the family's 1533-position model. The record is from RNAcentral.
UACGUAGGGUGCAAGCGUUAAUCGGAAUUACUGGGCGUAAAGCGUGCGCAGGCGGUUUUGUAAGUCAGAUGUGAAAUCCCCGGGCUCAACCUGGGAACUGCGUUUGAAACUACAAGGCUAGAGUGUAGCAGAGGGGGGUAGAAUUCCACGUGUAGCAGUGAAAUGCGUAGAGAUGUGGAGGAAUACCAAUGGCGAAGGCAGCCCCCUGGGUUAACACUGACGCUCAUGCACGAAAGCGUGGGGAGCAAACAGG